AACUCUCUGCCCAGAAUCAUUAGUCGCAAAAGUACCCUCGAACGAGACACAAAAAAAUAAAUUCUACCAAAUAUUUUAGGCCAACAAUUUUUCAAUAGUGAAAGGAAAAGAGUUGUCAGGUACAAAACAUUAUCUAGUUUAGAGUCAGAGUUUAGAGUUUAGAAAGUGUACCUUAUAGAGCAAGAACUUCAUCGUAAUAUCAUUAGGUUUCUCUGUGGAUCAUUUAAUCCAUUUCCAGUUACUAUCAAGUUUAAAAAUAUUAAAAAAUACUGAAGUUUUCAAAAGGGAUAAGCAUUUCCAAUUCUAAAGUACAGAAGAUCAAGAGCAUCUUGGAUAUUGGGUAUUGAGUCCUUCUAACAUCUAAGACCUUGCGUUGGACAGGAUAUAGAGAAGGAGGGCUCACUGGAGUUGCUGAUCAACUCUCCUAAGAAUAUUUAUCAAGAAUAAUUCAAAAAUAUUGAAUUGAAUUGAAGAACUGCCAUAGAACUCUAUAGAGAACCUACUCUGUGCUUGCCAACCUUGUACUUCUGACAAGAAAGCAAAACCCUUUUGCAGAAUAUAUAUUUAAAAUAUUAUAGAUAUUUUUAUUUUUUGAGACAGAUUUAGGUUUCCUUUCAAAAGUUCCAACUUUAAGUCUUCAUAACAUUCAAGAUUUCCAAAGAGUUUUGAUCAUUUAGGGUGUUAAGUGUUAGCUGAAGAAGUUCAAGUUAAGAUAGUUUAGAGUAUGCCUCCAAGAAAGACAUCCAAAGACAAUAGAAUGGCGAGGAAGGUCAAGAAGAAGUUAUUUUCCAGCAAGGGCUGUCUCUGGAUACUGGUUGUACUGUAAGAUUGUAUCUUUAGAACUAAGUCGAAAUUUCGGUAGCUCGUCCGGAUUAGAAACCCCAUCCAGAACAAUCUUACCAUUUCUUGGAAUAAAAAGCGAGCAUCACUUCUGGACUGGAACCACAUUUCAAGAACUAAAUUCUGCUGUGGAGCAUCCUUUUCUAAUUUUUCACACAAGUCCAAGAAAUGUAAACCAAAAGAAUAAACACUACGUGGCAGAGCAAA
This 1047-nucleotide small RNA is filed under the name Drosophila ananassae. RNAcentral's name for it is "GF27518". Lineage: Eukaryota; Metazoa; Arthropoda; Insecta; Diptera; Drosophilidae. The record is from RNAcentral.